AUGUGCUCACACAUGGGCUGCCGAAAAUACUGUAUAGCUAGGGAGUGGGAGAGGUAGACGGUACUCGGUAGGAAGGGGUAAAAUCCUUUGAUCUAUCGAUGACCACCAGUGGCGAAGGCGGUCUACCAGAACACGUCCGACGGUGAGGGAUGAAAGCUGGGGGAGCAAACCGGAUUAGAUACCCGGGUAGUCCCAGCUGUAAACUAUGCAAACUCAGUGAUGCAUUGGCUUGUGGCCAAUGCAGUGCCGCAGAGAAGUCGUUAAGUUUGCCGCCUGGGAAGUACGUACGCAAGUAUGAAACUUAAAGGAAUUGGCGGGGGAGCACCACAAGGGGUGAAGCCUGCGGUCCAAUUGGAGUCAACGCCAGAAAUCUUACCCGGAGAGACAGCAGAAUGAAGGUCAAGCUGAAGACUUUACCAGACAAGCUGAGAAGUGGUGCAUGGCCGUCGCCAGCUCGUGCCGUGAGGUGUCCUGUUAAGUCAGGUAACGAGCGAGAUCCUUGCCUCUAGUUGCCACCAUUACUCUCAGGAGUAGUGGGGCGAAUUAGCGGGACUGCCGCAGUUAAUGCGGAGGAAGGAGGGGGCCACGGCAGGUCAGUAUGCCCCGAAAAUCGUC
Molecule: ribosomal RNA, 615 nt
Filed under: uncultured archaeon
Lineage: Archaea
Description: bacterial SSU rRNA
Rfam family: Archaeal small subunit ribosomal RNA
Source: RNAcentral